UACCGGCAGCUCGAGUGAUGACCGAUUUUAUUGGGCCUAAAGCGUCCGUAGCUGGCCACGAAAGCCCGUCGGGAAAUCUCUCGGCUCAACCGAGAGGCGUCCGGCGGAACCUCCGUGGCUUGGAACCGGAAGGCUCAGAGGGUACGUCCAGGGUAGGAGUGAAAUCCUGUAAUCCUGGACGGACCACCGAUGGCGAAAGCACUCUGAGAGGACGGAUUCGACAGUGAGGGACGAAAGCUAGGGUCUCGAA
RNAcentral lists this ribosomal RNA (250 nucleotides) under uncultured Halobacteria archaeon. RNAcentral's name for it is "partial 16S ribosomal RNA". It matches the Rfam family "Archaeal small subunit ribosomal RNA", at positions 474 to 723 of the family's 1478-position model. Lineage: Archaea; Methanobacteriati; Methanobacteriota; Halobacteria. The record is from RNAcentral.